GUGGUGGAUCAGUGGUAAAGCACUUGCCUAGCACACAUGAGGCACUGGGUUCGAUCCUCAGCAUCACA
RNAcentral lists this transfer RNA (68 nucleotides) under Marmota monax (woodchuck). Its description in RNAcentral is "tRNA.Ala". The record is from RNAcentral. Lineage: Eukaryota; Metazoa; Chordata; Mammalia; Rodentia; Sciuridae.